Molecule: ribosomal RNA, 433 nt
Filed under: uncultured bacterium
Lineage: Bacteria
Description: partial 16S ribosomal RNA
Rfam family: Bacterial small subunit ribosomal RNA
Source: RNAcentral
AACGAACGCUGGCGGCAUGCCUAACACAUGCAAGUCGAACGAGACCUUCGGGUCUAGUGGCGCACGGGUGCGUAACGCGUGGGAACCUGCCCUUAGGUUCGGAAUAACUCCCCGAAAGGGGUGCUAAUACCGGAUAAUGUCUUCGGACCAAAGAUUUAUCGCCUUUGGAUGGGCCCGCGUUGGAUUAGCUAGUUGGUAGGGUAAAAGCCUACCAAGGCGACGAUCCAUAGCUGGUCUGAGAGGAUGAUCAGCCACACUGGGACUGAGACACGGCCCAGACUCCUACGGGAGGCAGCAGUGGGGAAUAUUGGACAAUGGGCGAAAGUCUGAUCCAGCAAUGCCGCGUGAGUGAUGAAGGCCGUAGGGUUGUAAAGCUCUUUUACCCGGGAUGAUAAUGACAGUACCGGGAGAAUAAGCACCGGCUAACUCCGUG